Molecule: long non-coding RNA, 784 nt
Organism: Engraulis encrasicolus (European anchovy)
Lineage: Eukaryota; Metazoa; Chordata; Actinopteri; Clupeiformes; Engraulidae
Exons: 5
Source: RefSeq, a predicted model, not a curated record
CUACCUCCCGGCCUACUUGUGCCAAAAUCAAGUUGUUUUGCUAACGAACUAAAAUGCAUACCCUGGUAUUUAUGGUUACAGAUCAACGCUGAGACCAAGGUUUGCUCUGAGCACUUUGAGAAGCAGUGUUUUGUAAAGACCGCCCGUGGUAUCACAAAGCUUAUAAGGAUGCCGUGCCACUUUGUUCGCCUGGACUUCAGAGAGGCCAAAGAGGAGAAUCAUCAUUCGCAGACCGAGAGAUGAUGACCCAUUCCUGAAGUUGGACGCCAGAAUGCAGGAAGGUGCUGUUUAAGAGCCUAGGCGGUGGAAGAAGCACUUGCAGGUAUGCUACCGACCAGGCUCCUCAACAUCAAUCCGAGACGGAAGAUGAACCGGGAUGAAGCAGUUAGAUUGAGACAAGGCGGCCGGAAACUUUGAUGACCUCAAUGACACUGGCUAGGUGAAGGACAUCAAGAAAAUGGCAUCCGGUCACCAGACAUCAGCUCAUAAGCCACAACGUCAUCAACCAUUUUGCGCCAAAAAUGAAGCCGUUCACAUACCAUGGCAUCCUAAGCAGGCAGCACCACACUACUGUGCAACAGUGAGAGAGAGCGGGCAAGGACAAGUAAAACGGACCUACACUACAGCAAGACUUUGACACUUCUCCACGUGAGAGGCAGCCAUCGCCCCCACCGUUGAGCAGUGUGUACCCAGUACCCCCAAAAGAGGAGAUGAUCCGACGCCAUCACAGCCGAUUUCCAAAAUUGUACACCAAACUCUGUAUGGGCGUGUGUGUGUGUGUGUG